This 303-nucleotide signal recognition particle RNA is filed under the name Sphenodon punctatus (tuatara). RNAcentral describes it as "Metazoan signal recognition particle RNA (ENSSPUG00000009020.1)". It matches the Rfam family "Metazoan signal recognition particle RNA". From Rfam's summary of the family: The signal recognition particle (SRP) is a universally conserved ribonucleoprotein. It is involved in the co-translational targeting of proteins to membranes. The eukaryotic SRP consists of a 300-nucleotide 7S RNA and six proteins: SRPs 72, 68, 54, 19, 14, and 9. The record is from Rfam by way of RNAcentral. Lineage: Eukaryota; Metazoa; Chordata; Lepidosauria; Sphenodontia; Sphenodontidae.
GCCGGGUAUAGUAGCUUGUGCCUGUAAUUCCCAGCUCCUUGGGAGGCUGAGACUGUAAAAUCAUACGAGCUCAGGGGUUCUGGACUGCAGUGGGUCAUGCUGAUCAGGUGUCCAUACUAAGGUCAGCAUCAAUAUGGUGACCUUUGGGAAACGGUAGGUUACCAGGUUGUUUAAGAAGGCGUGAACCGGCCCAUGUCAGAAAUGGAGCAGGUCAAAGCUCCUGUGUUUUGGGUUUUUUUUAAUUAAUUUUCUUUUAUUAUUAAUUAAACAUUCAACAUUAACACACACAUUUAUCAAUCUACU